Long non-coding RNA from Leptinotarsa decemlineata (Colorado potato beetle), 193 nucleotides. The record is from RefSeq and is a predicted model, not a curated record. NCBI's taxonomy places the organism in Eukaryota, Metazoa, Arthropoda, Insecta, Coleoptera, Chrysomelidae.
UGUUGGGAGAUGAACUCUUGAUAUUUUUUUUAACUUACAGGAAUAACACGUAAUUUUUUAGUUUCAGUUGGGACUGUGAUUUAAGUGAAGAAGUUCACAGGAAAAUCGAGAAAUUUUACAGAAUGUAUGAAAGAGAAAAGGACAGACGCAGAUCAAAAGAUUUCAAGAAAAGCAAAAAUAAAAAAAAGCAUAG